UUUUUUUUAAAAAUGAACGUAUAAAAGAGAUCGCCGUACGCGUAAAAAAGAUAUAUCGUGACAUCAUUUGAGUUCAUUGAACUCAAAGAAUUAGAGGAAACUAAUUACCUCAGAAUUUUUAAGUUGAUAAAUCAAUUUCUUUCAGCCAGAAACACUUAAAUAUAACAAAAAAUGAACUCAAACUUUGUCAUUUUUUGUUGUUGUUGUUAUAUUUAAGUGUAUUUGGCUUAAAGAAAUCGAUUUAUCGAUUGAAUUAGUUUCCUCAGAUUUUUGAGUUAAAUGAACUUAUUCGGUUUUACAGUGCGUGAUGCGACCGGGAGUCGAAUGAAAACCAUAAAAUUGAGACAAAUUACAAUCGAUUUUUUUUUUUUGGCCCAGACACUCAGAACACAAUAAAAAAAACGAAAAAAAAAAAAAAAAAAAGGUUUUCAUUUGACUCAGGCUUGUAAUCAUAUAUCCGUGAAUAAAAUGAAGUACAUGUAUUUUAAAUGUACGUCGCAGGUGCUUCAAUAGUGAACACCAUCCAGAGAUAUGGAUAAGGGUCUGGAUAAGGGUCUCUGCCAAAUGCCAUAAAUGUAAAUGUAAAUAAAUAGAAGUAAAUUAUUUCUUUCUAGAAAAGAAGAAGAACGAAUAAGCUUUUUAUUUUUCUUUCUCCUCCUAUCUGGAGAAGCACACGCUGAAGAUCCUGCCACCUGACACUAAAUUUAGUUUUCAGCACUCGUUCCACAUGACGACAAACAAUCGGUCUGUUAAAAAACAGGCGUUUUGUCGAUAUUUGUGCGUCGUUCGAAGUGAAUCUUCACAUAAAGUCCCUUAAAUUGAUACCUGCUUUCUAAUGAUAAGUUUAGUAAGGCACGGGUCUGGACAUGUUCUCACUCUCGUGUCCACUGGCGUGAUGGCGUGCUGGCCUGUACGUGUACCAUCUUGUCCGUGUGUGUGUGUGUGUGUGUGUGUGAGAGUGUGUCACUGACAUUUCGUAAUUCAUUUCAUAAUUCAUCUGGAAGGUCAUUUUUAAGCCUUUCCCACUUUCGAUAUUCACCUUUGUAUGUUUUUUUUCUUUCUCUCAGGACUCUGAAGCGUCUGUGGUUUUGUCUCCGACUCCAUUGGCAUGCGCUCAUUUGGCGACGAAAAUGUUAUCGUUACCAUAGCAUAACAUAAUCUUUCUACCUAAAGUAGCUGUGUUGGUGUGUGUGUGUGUGUGUAAGAUUUCUACUCUUCUUCCUGUAUUGAGAAAAGAACAGAAAACACUUAGAUCGAAGGUCUAAGGGCAGUUCUUGAUUGCUCAGAAGGUGUUGAUUAAUUCUCUAUAACAGCAGCUCUGACAGUAGCGCAGCUGCACAUCGCAGGUUCAUAUCAAUGCGCUCGUUCUCAUACGUUAUCCUUUCUGUAGGAACAUUUUAGGGAAAUCAUUUUUUUAAAACCGCGUGAUUGUUGAUAUGGUGAAAUUUUCAGUGAGGAGACGUUUAUUUAGGAUUUAUGGAAGUGUCAGGAAUUUAUUGGUUUCUUGGUUUUUUUUGUCUGUUGUCUGUUGUUGUUUGUUUGCUUGUUUUUUAUUUGUCAUGAGGCUGGUGAGGGAAUGACUUGAUGUGACAAUUCAUGAUAUGACUUUUUAAUCCAUUUAAUGGGUUGAAUGUCACUUCGAACGGAUUAAAACGUGUUGUUUUGUGAUGUGCCAUUCUUCAUUUAAAAAAAUAAAUUAAAAUGUUAGCAUUAGAAAUUGCUGCGGUAUAAAAGGAAUAAAACAGUCCGUUCUAGAAAAAUAACCCGCUUCAGGGGGGUUACAGUAACAACGAGGGUUCAUUUUCCUCUAGUCAUGUCCUUUAUAUAUAUAUAUAUAUAUAUAUA
Ictalurus punctatus (channel catfish) is the source of this 1845-nucleotide long non-coding RNA. Lineage: Eukaryota; Metazoa; Chordata; Actinopteri; Siluriformes; Ictaluridae. The record is from Ensembl.